Molecule: non-coding RNA, 47 nt
Filed under: unclassified sequences
Description: eL15-Euryarchaeota ribosomal protein leader
Rfam family: eL15-Euryarchaeota ribosomal protein leader
Source: RNAcentral
GCGGACUUGGAUCCGUUGGAAUGUGACCUUAAUGGUUGAACCGUAGA